UGGAUCACCUGAGGUUGGGAGUUCAAGACCAGCCUGACCAACAUAGAGAAACCCCGUCUCUACUAAAAAUACAAAAUCAGCCAGGCGUGGUGGCACAUGCCUGUAAUCCCAGCUACUUAGGAGGCUGAGGCAAGAGAAUUGCUUGAACUCGGCCGGGCGCGGUUGCAGUGAACUGAGAUCGCGCCAUUGCACUUCAGCCUGGGCAACAAGAGCGAAACUCGGUCUCAAAAAAAAAAAAAAAAAUUCAGUAAAAUCACACCUCAAUUGCACAUUCUGAUCACAGCACCCUAGCUGAGUUGCAGUAAGGGUUUGUCCUGGAGAAGGCAGCCCAUUUUUCUCCUCUGCCCCAGCACAGGGCCAUGACCCAUUGCAGGGUGAGAGGAGUGGAGAGUGAUGCACAUCAGUAGUCCAGCCACCAGUGGACAGAGUAGUACUUGGAGCCAGUUCUCCACGUCUCAUACAUAGUGAGAAAAGUCACUGUGACAUGAUGUUUAACCUUGACCCAAGCUGCAUAAAAGGCAGCUUUAGGCCAGGCUCCAAUCUGCCAGAGGUACACAGGCAGCUUCCUGGUGGGUUUCUGCACCUGCCUGUGCUGUCUGGAGAUUUGGCCCAAAGAUUUUUUUUUUUUGAGACAAAGCCUUACUCUGUC
Long non-coding RNA from Symphalangus syndactylus (siamang), 649 nucleotides. RefSeq lists it as uncharacterized. The record is from RefSeq and is a predicted model, not a curated record. Lineage: Eukaryota; Metazoa; Chordata; Mammalia; Primates; Hylobatidae.